Molecule: small RNA, 42 nt
Filed under: Paenalicyclobacillus macrosporangiidus
Lineage: Bacteria; Bacillati; Bacillota; Bacilli; Caryophanales; Alicyclobacillaceae
Description: Alicyclobacillus macrosporangiidus Bacillus-plasmid RNA
Rfam family: Bacillus-plasmid RNA
Source: Rfam by way of RNAcentral
CAGCGGUACCGGACGAGCGAAGCGACGGAGGAUAAGAAGCUG